GACGAACGCUGGCGGCGUGCUUAACACAUGCAAGUCGAACGGAAAGGCCCUGCUUUUGUUGGGUGCUCGAGUGGCGAACGGGUGAGUAACACGUGAGUAACCUGCCCUUGACUUUGGGAUAACUUCAGGAAACUGGGGCUAAUACCGGAUAUGAUCUCCUGCUGCAUGGUGGGGGUUGGAAAGUUUCGGCGGUUGGGGAUGGACUCGCGGCUUAUCAGCUUGUUGGUGGGGUAGUGGCUUACCAAGGCUUUGACGGGUAGCCGGCCUGAGAGGGUGACCGGCCACAUUGGGACUGAGAUACGGCCCAGACUCCUACGGGAGGCAGCAGUGGGGAAUAUUGCACAAUGGGCGGAAGCCUGAUGCAGAAACGCCGCGUGCGGGAUGACGGCCUUCGGGUUGUAAACCGCUUUCGCCUGUGACGAAGCGUGAGUGACGGUAAUGGGUAAAGAAGCACCGGCUAACUACGUG
RNAcentral lists this ribosomal RNA (468 nucleotides) under uncultured bacterium. RNAcentral describes it as "partial 16S ribosomal RNA". It matches the Rfam family "Bacterial small subunit ribosomal RNA", at positions 28 to 507 of the family's 1533-position model. The record is from RNAcentral.